AACGAACGCUGGCGGCAUGCCUAACACAUGCAAGUCGAACGAGACCUUCGGGUCUAGUGGCGCACGGGUGCGUAACGCGUGGGAACCUGCCCUUAGGUUCGGAAUAACUCCCCGAAAGGGAUGCUAAUACCUGAUAAUGUCUUCGGACCAAAGAUUUAUCGCCCUUGGAUGGGCCCGCGUUGGAUUAGCUGGUUGGUAGGGUAAAAGCCUACCAAGGCGACGAUCCAUAGCUGGUCUGAGAGGGUGAUCAGCCACACUGGGACUGAGACACGGCCCAGACUCCUACGGGAGGCAGCAGUGGGGAAUAUUGGACAAUGGGCGAAAGCCUGAUCCAGCAAUGCCGCGUGAGUGAUGAAGGCCUUAGGGUUGUAAAGCUCUUUUACCCGGGAUGAUAAUGACGGUACCGGGAGAAUAAGCCCCGGCUAACUCCGUG
This 433-nucleotide ribosomal RNA is filed under the name uncultured bacterium. Its description in RNAcentral is "partial 16S ribosomal RNA". It matches the Rfam family "Bacterial small subunit ribosomal RNA", at positions 29 to 507 of the family's 1533-position model. The record is from RNAcentral.